Molecule: non-coding RNA, 29 nt
Filed under: Mus musculus (house mouse)
Lineage: Eukaryota; Metazoa; Chordata; Mammalia; Rodentia; Muridae
Source: RNAcentral
UACAGGUAAUUACAACAGGGAAGUCCUGG